AUAGCCAAUCGUUAUCUGCCCGGCUCCCGGAGGCUGCCCGAGAAUGGGGUUGUACAGGGUUGGGAAUUGUUUCCAAAGUGCCGCGGAAUAAAUGGUGUUCCUUAUCUCUGCCUUCCAGAUUAUCAGAGCCCUUUCAGAGAGCGCACAACAAAUGCGCCCGCCAUCGAAUGCAGCAUUUACCACCGCAGAUCCGCGCGCUGAUGGGCAGCCAGAUAGCCAUCCGCGGGGGGCACCGUGGAGCGCCCUGCGCCCAGCGCGCCUCCAGCCUGCGCGCAGGGGCCACCCGAGUGUGCGCUCUCUCCGGGGGAGAGACUGUAGCCGGGCAGCCUUUGGAAGGCCAGCGACGGAGUGGACGCUCAGCACACGGGGGAGACGUGGGUAUGCGUGUGCCAGGGUGUCAGACAUGUGUCCUGCAAGGAAGCGCACGUGUCCCAACCUUGGUGGCCCCGAGGAGCGCCUGGAGAUGGCCUUGGAAAGACGCGCGUGGCGACGGGCCUGGCACGCACGUGUGACUCAUGAAGCUGGGGUCUUUGGGCAAGCCAGCUCCUGUCUGGAAUUUGCAGCUUUUCCAUCCAUCCUUUCAGCAAACACUUAUGGAGCACCUACUGAAUGCCAUACUGACCCUGGGCAGCCCCCCCCCCAAAAAAAAAAAAUGAUUGUGCAAGCUUGCGUUGGCAUGCCUCAAUGCAUGUCACCCCUUCCAGGAUGCUUUGGAGGGGGGACACACACCAGAAAGGGGCGUGGCAGCCGCGAGGGAGCGUGGGGUGCGCGCUUGGUGCGUUUUGGGGGGGCUUGCAAGCUGCAGAGCAUGCGCAUCUGUGGGAGGUGAAUGCACGUGUCAGCGUGUGGCUGGGGUGUGCACCCGGGAAGAUGCGUCCUGAAAAAUGCCUCUUUCAGCCCAGGUGUGCCCAGGUGCACAGCAAGAGGGCGAGAGGACAGGCCUGACCGGGUGCUUGCGAGUGUAGACUCCUACAGGGACAGAGAGAGGCGUGCGCGGGGAUGGGGGUGAGGGGGGACAGUGGGAUGUGCCAUGUUGGUGGCAGAAACUGGCUACGGAGCCAAGAGGAGCGAGUCCAGGAGUUUGGGGACACUUAUGGACACUUAUGGAGCACCUACUGUAUACCAUACUGACCCAGGGGUCCUGGUCCCCACAGCCUCUCGGCUGUAAACCCUGAAGCUGGGGCAAGAGAGCCCCAGAGCCUGGCUGCCUGAGGUCCCUGCGCCGUGAGUGACACGCGCCGCCGACAAAGGCUGUAUUUUUCCAGCCCUGCGCCCCGCCCGUGCGCGCGCGAUGGUCCCCAUGGCGACGCAGAUAGCGCCUCAGCCAUUUUCCCUAUCUCCCCCGAGUCUAUUAUACGGCGGGAUUAGCUCAUCUCCAGGCAGGUCAAACCCAAAGUCACCCAACCUGCAGCGCCGACCCCGCCCCCCCGGGUCCCUCCCCCUUCUCGGGUCGCGUCUGCGCUUGGAGACCCCCGGGCCGCGGCCCAUGAGCGAGCGCACAGCGCCACCUGGCGUCCCCAGUGGACUCCGCGCGAGCCAUCUGCACCCGAAGGAGACCAGGGGGAGGGGGUCCCUUGGUCCAGAAGCAGGAACUUUUUGUUUUGGGCCCCUGGGUCAGUAUGGUAUACAGUAGGUGCUCCAUAAGUGCUUGUUGAAAGGUUGCAUGGAAAGACCAGAAAUUCUAGACAGGAACUGACCAGCUUCAUGGGUCACCAAAAACCCAUUUCUGAAAAGGCACCCAGUUGACUUUAGAAUAAAAGCCAAACUCCUUUGGAAACCUACAGAAGAACUUGGUGACAUCCCGGGUGGGUCCCCCAUUUCCUUCUUCUGUCUCUCAGGGACUGUGUGUGGCCUUCCUUCUGUUCAGAUUGGACCCAGGA
RNAcentral lists this long non-coding RNA (1880 nucleotides) under Marmota monax (woodchuck). The record is from RNAcentral. Lineage: Eukaryota; Metazoa; Chordata; Mammalia; Rodentia; Sciuridae.